CUACGUAAUCAGCAGAGCAGUGUGACCACAAAUGCAACAAACAUUCCAAGGAAUUAAGGAAAGCUAGCAAGGGUAUAUUCGUACACAAGAGAAUCUGUGAAUACCUAACUUAAAAUCUAUCGAGAGGCAGCCAACAACUGCGGUACCUGUAGGGCCAGAGAGAUACCGCAGAUACAGCACCAUUCUGCAGACGUAGCAAAUGGGCAGAGCAAUUAACACCAGAGCCUCUGGAGGAAUCCUGAUCACGCUCAGUACACCUCACUGAUGCUGUCCGCCUGGAAUUACACCCAGCCACCCCCCACCCCCACACACCUGCUAUAUAAAGAAAAAUGUGCUGAAAUGAGUCUGGCUACCAAGCUCACCUGAUGGAUGAGGAUCUCCACCACCAGCUCUGGCCUUCAACCAAACUGUGUAACGCUUGAGGCUUCACAAAGUGUGCCAAGAAUGUCAGCGGUCUCAUUAGUGUGAGUAAUCCUACUUUUCAAUAGUUAUUAUUUUUUCCCCUUUAUUUAUUUAUUUUUUUUACAGUGAUUCUUUUGUUUAAAAAUAAUCAGGAUCACAUAUGUGUACUGUAAACCUGGUCUUUCACAGCUGACCUGGAAAAUUAUUGUAUGUAGAUGACCAUGCUAACCGUGACUGAGAAAAGACUGAAGCCCCAAACCAAGCUCACAUCCUGCCUUGAGCCCUCAGGGAUUUUUAAAAAAUCAUAAUAAUUUGGCAUCUUCAAUCCCAUCUGAAUUUGGAAUGUCAAAUUCACAAACUGCACAACCCCCUGCUGCUGGCUCGGGAGAGUAAAGACGACUCGCGGUUCGCUGAAACACAUGGCACCAGCAGCUUCUUUUCAUACUUCAGCCACAAGCCAUGCAUGUGCAGAGCGGGUGUGGAGGAGACCCAAUUAUACGUGUGCCUAGAAAGUGAGCCCUCAGGGAUUUAUUAUGGCUGCUGACUUGGAUGGUUUUCAGUUUUUUUAAUGUUGCAAACUAGUCAAAAGCAUUAGCUAAUAAAGUGAGAUUAAUAUUUGUAUCUGCAUUCUUCUCAAAAUGAGACCAUACACUACCAAAACAAUGUGCUGGAUCAACCCAGAUCAUUUUACAGAAAGGUUAUCUUCAAACUUAAAAGACAUAGGGCCUGGUUUACUAUGACCUUUAGCAUGUGCAAAACCUUUUAGCACACCUAAACCUUAUAACACAAACAACGACCAACGAAAACAAAUACUGUGUCCCAUGUUUGAUUGUCUUGUUGGUUUUGCAUGUGCUUAAAGGGUUAACACAUCCUGAACACCUUAAUAAAUCAGAUUCAUAAUGCGUACAUGUGAUUGGAAAAUAAAAGCACAAUUUGUGUAUAUGCAGUUGCACUUUGUAUUUACUUGGUGAAAUUAAUCAUUUUAUCUGUUUGUAGGCAGAUUUUUACGGUCUAUGUAAUUUCUAUGGGGGGUAAAAUUUGUGUGUACGGCUUUUCUUUUCAUUGUGGCCUGCAUGACACAAUCUGUCCAGGACCUGCCAACAAUAUUGUCCAAAGAGUUGAGAACCACUGGUCUAAAUAGAAUCAGUAUAUUGCCUUGGAUAUUUUACAAUGUUUGAUCCUAUGCCUGAGAUAUAGAAUACAAUUAAAUAUGAGCUAUGGAUACAGUGUUUUAUAUAAUGCAAGAGCAUGACAGAAAAUAAAGAAUACAUAAACGUUUCACAGGGGAAAUUUUCCUUCCACUCUGUGUGUGUUUAUUUAAUAAUGUCAGGUACAAUUUAAUAGAAUCUGUGUUUCCAAUAGCAAGAAUGUAUGCAACUUUAGAAGGUUGAGCCCUAAUUUUGCGUGACCUUCUAAAUGGAAAAAGCAUAGUGCACAUAAAUGUGAAAUUAACUUGCUGUUAUAAAAGUACUAGCCUCUCUUGUUAGGCUCAUAACCAUAGGAUAUGUAUGGGCUGAUUAGGAUAAGAUCACCCACCUUCUGAGAAUGGUGUACAUCCUCUGACAAACUAUGAUCUGGCAUAAAUCAGGCUCCAACUGGAAGUGAAAAUUGGAGCCCACUCAACUCAACCAUUUCACGUAAUGCUGACUAAAACCAAGUUGAACCAAUCAGACUGCAGGGAAGCUCAUCUCACAGACGAUAACUGUGACAAACUAUAACUCUCAGAUGCUGUUGAGAGAGAGAGAGGUUGUCUGAGGCCAGGGCUAUAAAAAUGCUGGACUUUAGGUGGUGGCCAUUUGAGAUUGCCCCAAGGGAAUAAUUGACACUCACAGGUCAGAGAGGUGGCAGAGACAGUUCUGAACCAACAAAACAAGAGGAAAUGCAGAGGCAUACCCAUUCAUUCAUUCUCACCUGCUUGUGUGUCUUGUCAUUGUGAUGUUGCCAUUGUAACUGUGUGUAUAUG
Molecule: long non-coding RNA, 2365 nt
Organism: Anguilla rostrata (American eel)
Lineage: Eukaryota; Metazoa; Chordata; Actinopteri; Anguilliformes; Anguillidae
Exons: 5
Source: RefSeq, a predicted model, not a curated record